GACAGAGGGUGCAAACGUUGCUCGGAAUUACUGGGCGUAAAGCGCGUGUAGGUGGCUCUCCCAGUCGGGUGUGAAAGCCCAGGGCUCAACCCUGGAAGUGCACUCGAUACUAGAGAGCUGGAGUCUCGGAGAGGAUAGCGGAAUUCCCGGUGUAGAGGUGAAAUUCGUAGAUAUCGGGAGGAACACCAGUGGCGAAGGCGGCUAUCUGGACGAGUACUGACACUGAGACGCGAAGGCAUGGGGAGCAAACAGG
This 253-nucleotide ribosomal RNA is filed under the name uncultured bacterium. Its description in RNAcentral is "partial 16S ribosomal RNA". It matches the Rfam family "Bacterial small subunit ribosomal RNA", at positions 524 to 776 of the family's 1533-position model. The record is from RNAcentral.